CUGCAAAAUAUUUGUUCGCUGCCUUAAAAUAAUGUAACUUCACUUUUUAUAUCCUAUUAUUUUUUCCUCAAAGUUGGCGAAGAUAUUUUUAUUUCAUUAUUUACUUUUUGCGCAAAAGAAAUACUAUAUUAAAAAAAAAAAAAAAAAAAAAAAAAAACGCACAAAGGCCAUGCGUUUCGUACCCACGCCCGGACAACAAACAUACUGUCCAGAAAGCCACAGUGUUGCUCUUUCCCAGGAAUAUAAUAACACGACAUUUUAGUAAUGAAUCAAACCAUAUAUCAUAUUUAAGAGAAAAUCGAUUUUGGUUUGUGCAGAGC
Molecule: long non-coding RNA, 320 nt
Filed under: Mytilus galloprovincialis (Mediterranean mussel)
Lineage: Eukaryota; Metazoa; Mollusca; Bivalvia; Mytilida; Mytilidae
Source: RNAcentral